RNAcentral lists this ribosomal RNA (465 nucleotides) under Vreelandella stevensii. Its description in RNAcentral is "partial 16S ribosomal RNA". It matches the Rfam family "Bacterial small subunit ribosomal RNA", at positions 338 to 795 of the family's 1533-position model. The record is from RNAcentral. Lineage: Bacteria; Pseudomonadati; Pseudomonadota; Gammaproteobacteria; Oceanospirillales; Halomonadaceae.
CCUACGGGAUGCUGCAGUGGGGAAUAUUGGACAAUGGGCGAAAGCCUGAUCCAGCCAUGCCGCGUGUGUGAAGAAGGCCUUCGGGUUGUAAAGCACUUUCAGUGGGGAAGAAAGCCUUGGGGCUAAUACCCUCGAGGAAGGACAUCACCCACAGAAGAAGCACCGGCUAACUCCGUGCCAGCAGCCGCGGUAAUACGGAGGGUGCGAGCGUUAAUCGGAAUUACUGGGCGUAAAGCGCGCGUAGGCGGUCUGAUAAGCCGGUUGUGAAAGCCCCGGGCUCAACCUGGGAACGGCAUCUGGAACUGUCAGGCUAGAGUGCAGGAGAGGAAGGUAGAAUUCCCGGUGUAGCGGUGAAAUGCGUAGAGAUCGGGAGGAAUACCAGUGGCGAAGGCGGCCUUCUGGACUGACACUGACGCUGAGGUGCGAAAGCGUGGGUAGCAAACAGGAUUAGAUACCCCAGUAGUC